GAAGUCUGAAAGUCAAAACUUCUUCUUUGAAACUUGAAAGUGAAACCUUCUUCUUUGAAACACCAGUCCACUGCCAUCGACGUCCGACCCACCGUCCACUGUCCACCGUCGUCAACUCGUCCGUCCGUCACGCUGCAAGUCGCCACUCCCACGCCGCCAGCCGCCACCCAGGCCACCGCCACAGCAGCCAGCAGCACUGCCAGUCGUCAAUUGCCGCCCACCGGCUCUCCACAGGCCCACAACCACCCCUCUCAUUCAUCUCUCAACUCUCAUCUCUCGUUUUCGUCACUCGUAAGUUUCUUAUGCCUUUAUAAAACACAUCCAAAAAUAUAAAUAACAACAACAACAACAACAAUAAUAAUAAUAAUAAUAGUAGUAGUAGUACUAGUAGUGAAAGAAAGAAGAUAACCAAGUUUGUGAAAAUAUUUUUUUCUUUUCUGUGCUCUGCAAAUCAUUAUUUUUGUUAGUCUUAAUUGUAUGAUUUUUUUGUUUUUCCAUUAUUUGCUAAUACUAAAUGAUUUUUAUCUUAUGACUUUUUUUUAAUUAAUAAUUACAAUUAUAAAAUUAGAAUGAUUCUUUAUGAUUUACAAUAGAUGAAGAAAAUUUCAGUACUCAUAUAGAUUAAAAAUAAUAGUGUGGGUAAUAUUUUUUUUGGAGUUUUGUGUAGUCUUGUGUCUUGACUUUUCAUAGUUUUUUUAUUAUUAUAGAUUGAGUCGAUAUUUAGUUAUUACGAUGGCCGUUUUACCAUUUUUUAAUUAAAUUUGAUUAAAUCGAAACCGAACCGAAAUAAACCGAACCGAAUUUAUAAUAACCGAACCAAACCGAAUUUAUUUCGGUUUUGUUUGGUUUCAUAUUUGGCCAAACCGAAAAUCGAAAAUCGAAACGAUAUUUACGAACCGAACCGAACCGACCGAACGCCCAGGCCUAGCUAUAAAUGAUAAAUAUUUUUUAAAAUAUUAUAUAUUUAGGUAAGUUUCUCGCUUAAAUACCCCAAGGCGUAUCAUAGUAUAAUAAUGUCUAGGAAAGUUCAAAUUGUUAAACCGAUUUGAUUAACAAUAAAUCUAUUGUAUUUAUGUGGGGCCUAUUGUAUUUACUUAAUACAUCAUUCUUCAAAAAGUUAAUUAUUUUACUUGAUUUUAUGAUUAAUUGGAUAGUUUGAUUGGAUUUGGCCCUAAUAUGAUCUAUAUAAUUAUUGUGGCAUCUUGUAUUGUUCUAUGGGUAAAAUUGGUAUUUAAAAACAAUUAAAGUGGUUCGUGUUGUAAAAUCAGGAUUAUAGGAAGAAGACAAGAGAAAUAGAUGUAGGAGAAGACUUUCUUCUUAUUCAAGUAUAUAUAAGUUUCAUAUAUAUAUAUAUAUAUAUAUAUAUAUAUAUAUAUAUAUAUAUAUUACAAUAGUGAAUGAACAACCCUAUUUAUAGAGUGAGAAAUCAUUCCAAAGGUCACCAUAUUAAGUAUCAUAAUAAAUAGAUGCAUACUUAUCCAAAAAGGUUCAUGUAACCUAGUGAAUAUGAAUGGUUGUUCAUGUACUAACUUUAUGGACUAUCCACUUAUUUAAUGGAUUUAUAACACUCCCCCUUGGAUGUCCAUAGAUACUGUGUCUCGUUAAAACCUUACUAGAAAAAAAAACCCUGUGGGAAAAAAUUCUAGUAAAGGAAAAAGAGUACACAUAUCUUUUGAUACGCAUUAUUUGCUGCCUCAUUAAAAACCUUUCUAGGAAAACCCAAUGAGACAAAACCUAGAUUAAGGAAAAAAGAGUACAGUGCGUAUUUUACUCCCCCUGAUAAAAACCACGAUUCAGAUGGUUAAGUUUCCGCAUUCCAAUUUUGUGAACCAUCUUCUCAAGAGUUGAGGCGGUAAAGAUUUAGUAAAUAAAUCUGCUGGAUUAUCACUCGAACGAAUUUGUCGCACAUCAAUAUCACCAUUCUUCUGGAGAUCAUGUGUGAAGAAUAAUUUUGGUGAAAUGUGUUUCGUUCUAUCUCCUUUUAUAAAGCCUCCUUUUAAUUGAGCUAUGCAUGUAACAUUGUCUUCAAAGAGUAUUGUGGGUAUCUUGACGUCACACUUCAAACCACAUCUUUCUUUGAUAGAAUGUAUUUCUGAUCUUAACCAUACACAUUCUCUACUUGCUUCAUGAAUGACUAUUAUCUCAGCAUGAUUUGAAGAAGUAGCGACAAUAGACUGCUUCGUAGAUCGCCAUGAUAUAGUAGUACCUCCAUAUGUGAACAGAUAGCAUGUUUGUGAUCGAGCUUUAUGUGGGUCAGAUAAAUAACCUGCAUCUGCAUGACCAACAAGAUCUGCACUAUCUUUGUUAGUAUAAAAUAGACUCAUAUCACUAGUUCCCCUUAGAUAUCGCAAUAUAUGUUUAACUCCUUUCCAAUGUCUUCGUGUAGGGGAAGAACUAUAUCUUGCUAACAAAUUAACAGAAAAUGCUAUGUCAGGUCUCGUAGCAUUAGCAAGAUACAUAAGUGCCCCAAUUGCACUAAGAUAAGGUACUUCUGGACCAAGAGGUUCCUCGUUCUCUUCUUGAGGUCGGAAUGGAUCGUUACUCACUUCAAGUGAUCGGACAACCAUUGGAGUACUCAAUGGAUGUGCUUUGUCCAUGUAAAAUCGUUUCAAGAUUUUCUCAGUAUAGUCAGAUUGAUGGAUGAAGACCCCGUCUACUAAAUAUUCUAUUUGUAGUCCAAGACAAAUUUUUGUCUUUCCAAUGUCUUUCAUCUCAAAUUCUUCCUUUAGAUAUUCAAUUGCCUUUUGAACCUCUUCUGGAGUUCCAAUGAGAUUAAUGUCAUCAACAUAAACAUCAAGAAUAACAAACUCCAAUGUUGU
RNAcentral lists this long non-coding RNA (2819 nucleotides) under Solanum lycopersicum (tomato). RNAcentral's name for it is "long non-coding RNA (SLYC_LNC000077)". Lineage: Eukaryota; Viridiplantae; Streptophyta; Magnoliopsida; Solanales; Solanaceae. The record is from RNAcentral.